AACGCUAGCUACAGGCUUAACACAUGCAAGUCGAGGGGCAGCGGGGGUCUAGCUUGCUAGAUUUGCCGGCGACCGGCGCACGGGUGAGUAACACGUAUCCAACCUGGCCCAUACUCGGGUAUAGCCUCUCGAAAGGGAGAUUAAUCCCCGAUGUUGUUGCGAUUCCGCAUGGUGUUGCAACCAAAGAGCUUCGGUAUGGGAUGGGGAUGCGUUCCAUUAGCUUGUUGGCGGGGUAACGGCCCACCAAGGCGACGAUGGAUAGGGGUUCUGAGAGGAAGGUCCCCCACACUGGAACUGAGACACGGUCCAGACUCCUACGGGAGGCAGCAGUGAGGAAUAUUGGUCAAUGGGCGAGAGCCUGAACCAGCCAAGUAGCGUGAAGGAAGACUGCCCUACGGGUUGUAAACUUCUUUUGUUUGGGAAUAAAGUGCGUCACGUGUGGCGUUUUGUAUGUACCAUUCGAAUAAGCAUCGGCUAAUUCCGUGCCAGCAGCCGCGGUAAUACGGAAGAUGCGAGCGUUAUCCGGAUUUAUUGGGUUUAAAGGGAGCGUAGGCGGGCUUUUAAGCCAGCUGUGAAAGUUUGCGGCUCAACCGUAAAAUUGCAGUUGGAACUGGAGACCUUGAGUGUGCAUAAGGUGGAUGGAAUUCGUGGUGUAGCGGUGAAAUGCUUAGAUAUCACGAAGAACUCCGAUUG
This 693-nucleotide ribosomal RNA is filed under the name uncultured Bacteroidales bacterium. RNAcentral's name for it is "bacterial SSU rRNA". It matches the Rfam family "Bacterial small subunit ribosomal RNA", at positions 32 to 715 of the family's 1533-position model. Lineage: Bacteria; Pseudomonadati; Bacteroidota; Bacteroidia; Bacteroidales. The record is from RNAcentral.